This 2630-nucleotide ribosomal RNA is filed under the name Escherichia coli. RNAcentral's name for it is "partial 23S ribosomal RNA". It matches the Rfam family "Bacterial large subunit ribosomal RNA". The record is from RNAcentral. Lineage: Bacteria; Pseudomonadati; Pseudomonadota; Gammaproteobacteria; Enterobacterales; Enterobacteriaceae.
GUUAAGCGACUAAGCGUACACGGUGGAUGCCCUGGCAGUCAGAGGCGAUGAAGGACGUGCUAAUCUGCGAUAAGCGUCGGUAAGGUGAUAUGAACCGUUAUAACCGGCGAUUUCCGAAUGGGGAAACCCAGUGUGAUUCGUCACACUAUCAUUAACUGAAUCCAUAGGUUAAUGAGGCGAACCGGGGGAACUGAAACAUCUAAGUACCCCGAGGAAAAGAAAUCAACCGAGAUUCCCCCAGUAGCGGCGAGCGAACGGGGAGCAGCCCAGAGCCUGAAUCAGUGUGUGUGUUAGUGGAAGCGUCUGGAAAGGCGCGCGAUACAGGGUGACAGCCCCGUACACAAAAAUGCACAUACUGUGAGCUCGAUGAGUAGGGCGGGACACGUGGUAUCCUGUCUGAAUAUGGGGGGACCAUCCUCCAAGGCUAAAUACUCCUGACUGACCGAUAGUGAACCAGUACCGUGAGGGAAAGGCGAAAAGAACCCCGGCGAGGGGAGUGAAAAAGAACCUGAAACCGUGUACGUACAAGCAGUGGGAGCACGCUUAGGCGUGUGACUGCGUACCUUUUGUAUAAUGGGUCAGCGACUUAUAUUCUGUAGCAAGGUUAACCGAAUAGGGGAGCCGAAGGGAAACCGAGUCUUAACUGGGCGUUAAGUUGCAGGGUAUAGACCCGAAACCCGGUGAUCUAGCCAUGGGCAGGUUGAAGGUUGGGUAACACUAACUGGAGGACCGAACCGACUAAUGUUGAAAAAUUAGCGGAUGACUUGUGGCUGGGGGUGAAAGGCCAAUCAAACCGGGAGAUAGCUGGUUCUCCCCGAAAGCUAUUUAGGUAGCGCCUCGUGAAUUCAUCUCCGGGGGUAGAGCACUGUUUCGGCAAGGGGGUCAUCCCGACUUACCAACCCGAUGCAAACUGCGAAUACCGGAGAAUGUUAUCACGGGAGACACACGGCGGGUGCUAACGUCCGUCGUGAAGAGGGAAACAACCCAGACCGCCAGCUAAGGUCCCAAAGUCAUGGUUAAGUGGGAAACGAUGUGGGAAGGCCCAGACAGCCAGGAUGUUGGCUUAGAAGCAGCCAUCAUUUAAAGAAAGCGUAAUAGCUCACUGGUCGAGUCGGCCUGCGCGGAAGAUGUAACGGGGCUAAACCAUGCACCGAAGCUGCGGCAGCGACGCUGAUGCGUUGUUGGGUAGGGGAGCGUUCUGUAAGCCUGUGAAGGUGUGCUGUGAGGCAUGCUGGAGGUAUCAGAAGUGCGAAUGCUGACAUAAGUAACGAUAAAGCGGGUGAAAAGCCCGCUCGCCGGAAGACCAAGGGUUCCUGUCCAACGUUAAUCGGGGCAGGGUGAGUCGACCCCUAAGGCGAGGCCGAAAGGCGUAGUCGAUGGGAAACAGGUUAAUAUUCCUGUACUUGGUGUUACUGCGAAGGGGGGACGGAGAAGGCUAUGUUGGCCGGGCGACGGUUGUCCCGGUUUAAGCGUGUAGGCUGGUUUUCCAGGCAAAUCCGGAAAAUCAAGGCUGAGGCGUGAUGACGAGGCACUACGGUGCUGAAGCAACAAAUGCCCUGCUUCCAGGAAAAGCCUCUAAGCAUCAGGUAACAUCAAAUCGUACCCCAAACCGACACAGGUGGUCAGGUAGAGAAUACCAAGGCGCUUGAGAGAACUCGGGUGAAGGAACUAGGCAAAAUGGUGCCGUAACUUCGGGAGAAGGCACGCUGAUAUGUAGGUGAAGCGACUUGCUCGUGGAGCUGAAAUCAGUCGAAGAUACCAGCUGGCUGCAACUGUUUAUUAAAAACACAGCACUGUGCAAACACGAAAGUGGACGUAUACGGUGUGACGCCUGCCCGGUGCCGGAAGGUUAAUUGAUGGGGUCAGCGCAAGCGAAGCUCUUGAUCGAAGCCCCGGUAAACGGCGGCCGUAACUAUAACGGUCCUAAGGUAGCGAAAUUCCUUGUCGGGUAAGUUCCGACCUGCACGAAUGGCGUAAUGAUGGCCAGGCUGUCUCCACCCGAGACUCAGUGAAAUUGAACUCGCUGUGAAGAUGCAGUGUACCCGCGGCAAGACGGAAAGACCCCGUGAACCUUUACUAUAGCUUGACACUGAACAUUGAGCCUUGAUGUGUAGGAUAGGUGGGAGGCUUUGAAGUGUGGACGCCAGUCUGCAUGGAGCCGGCCUUGAAAUACCACCCUUUAAUGUUUGAUGUUCUAACGUUGACCCGUGAUCCGGGUUGCGGACAGUGUCUGGUGGGUAGUUUGACUGGGGCGGUCUCCUCCUAAAGAGUAACGGAGGAGCACGAAGGUUGGCUAAUCCUGGUCGGACAUCAGGAGGUUAGUGCAAUGGCAUAAGCCAGCUUGACUGCGAGCGUGACGGCGCGAGCAGGUGCGAAAGCAGGUCAUAGUGAUCCGGUGGUUCUGAAUGGAAGGGCCAUCGCUCAACGGAUAAAAGGUACUCCGGGGAUAACAGGCUGAUACCGCCCAAGAGUUCAUAUCGACGGCGGUGUUUGGCACCUCGAUGUCGGCUCAUCACAUCCUGGGGCUGAAGUAGGUCCCAAGGGUAUGGCUGUUCGCCAUUUAAAGUGGUACGCGAGCUGGGUUUAGAACGUCGUGAGACAGUUCGGUCCCUAUCUGCCGUGGGCGCUGG